This 2284-nucleotide long non-coding RNA is filed under the name Salmo salar (Atlantic salmon). RNAcentral's name for it is "lncRNA (ENSSSAG00000109755.1)". The record is from RNAcentral. Lineage: Eukaryota; Metazoa; Chordata; Actinopteri; Salmoniformes; Salmonidae.
GGGAAGGAAGUCACUGUUGAGACAGCCCAGCUAAGGUGUUUGUGGUCUGUGACUCAAUUCCUGUCAGAGAGACACGGAAGAGAAAAAUACUUUCUUGUCUUCGCUUGUCACGGACUUGGUUCUGCCAUCAGAGGCAGACGGAUCUAUUGAUAAAUCAGCAAUAUGGCAUCGAACUUCAUUCCCCUUUAUAUCCUGGGUGUGGUACUGAUCCUCUACAUAGUCAAAGCAGACGAGUAUAAUAAAACAGGGCUCGACGACAACGAUGGCAGUGACCCCAUCCCCACUACCACCCUUACUGCCACUCCUGCUACCCCCUCAGCCGCUCAGAACAAUCCUACAGUUACUACCUUGGUCCAGCCAGACUACCGUGACUCUAACCUUACCAACAACAUCACCGUCGGCAGUAGAGAUGGCAACCAAACCCAAGACCAGAACCAGAACCAAGACCAGAACGAAGAUGUGGGUGUUGGAACCUCGCGGGACGACGUGACAACGGUUGCCGCGGAAACCACGCCGUCGGGGGCGACCAACGGCCGAUCUGAGGAAGUGCAACUUGACGGUACCGUGUCGAAUGACGCGAUUACAACAUCAUCACCAGUGCUGAUAGAAUCUACUGGAAGAGGAAGCAGUGCUACAGCAGGCUAUGUAAUCCUGUUCCUCAUAUUGUUAGUCAUUGUCUGUCUGGUGGUGGUUCUCUAUUUCCAGAGGAAGAAGUCCAGGAAGUAUUCGUUUGACCUUGCGGGUAACGAUCACGACACCCCCCUCACCUGCGUGGAACAAGCCGGAACCUUCGAACCCAACGAGAAAGCCGGAGGUUUUGACUACGUGAUAGAGAGCGGUGGUGAUGACCACCAGGCUAUGGGCCCUGUGGCCAAUGGCUCAGCUGGGGAGGCGAGGUCCGCUGGAGAGAACGGAGAGAAGCAGGGUCAUGGUGAUAGUGAUGGAGACAGCUUCGACAACUUCUGUGGCCAUGCGAUCACGCUGACUCCGACCGUAAAGAGGGUGGGCUUUAGCCUGGACAUGAGUGACAGGCAGUCGGACAAAUCAGACAACGGGGAGCAGAAUGGGAACAACAACAACGUUGCCGUGGGGAUGACCCCUGAGCCGCCGGGCCUGACCUUUGACCCUGUAGGUCCAGGUGACGUCUUCACUGAAAUCAGCCUGGAUAUAUAGAAGACGCACACACAUUGUUGUAAAAUUGUAAUGUUCUGUUGUGGUUGAUUUAUAGAUGAAUGUAAAAAGCUUCAAAUAACUUUUACAUCCCUAUUUUUUAUGCUGUAAAUUUUUGAUACCGUAAAUUUUUGAUACUGUAAGUUUUUGAUACCGUAAAUUUUUGAUACCGUAAAUUUUUGAUACUGUAAGUUUUUGAUACCGUAAAUUUUUGAUACCGUAAAUUUUUGAUACUGUAAGUUUUUGAUACCGUAAAUUUUUGAUACCGUAAGUUUUUGAUUCCGUAAAUUUUUUUCGUAUUUCAAGAUAAAAAACGAAUGUUUAUAGUUUUUUUGUUAUUCAUUUUAAUAAUGUCUUACGCAUUGAUAAUAAUCGCAGGAGACGCCAAGUCACACGGCGAUUGUUUUUAGAAUAAAACAUACUUCACAGAAUUCUAGGUGUUGUGUCUUGAUGUGAUGUGUUUGGGAAAUGUGUGGUAAAGUAAUCUGUGGAGGGGUAAUGUGUGGAUAGGUAAUCUGUGGAGAGGUAAUCUGUGGAGAGGUGAUCUGUGGAGAGGUGAUGUGUGGAGAGGUGAUGUGUGGAGGGGUAAUGUGUGGAGAGGUAAUCUGUGGAGAGGUGAUCUGUGGAGAGGUGAUGUGUGGAGAGGUGAUCUGUGGAGAGGUGAUCUGUGGAGAGGUGAUGUGUGGAGAGGUAAUCUGUGGAGAGGUGAUCUGUGGAGAGGUGAUGUGUGGAGAGGUAAUGUGUGGAGAGGUGAUGUGUGGAGGGGUAAUGUGUGGAGAGGUGAUGUGUGGAGGGGUAAUGUGUGUUAAAUAAUCUGUGGAGAGGUAAUGUGUGGAGAGGUAAUCUGUUGAAAGAUAAUGUGUGGAGAAGUAAUCUGUCGCAAGACAAUGUGUGGAGAGGUAAUGUGUGGAGAGGCAAUCUGUUGAGAGAUAAUGUGUGGAGAGGUAAUGUAUGGAGAGAUAAUGUGGCAAGAUAAUGCGAGGAGAGGUAUUUGUUCAGAGGGGGUUUUACUCAGUUUGGCGGGAAUUACUUUGGAGUGCCUUCCGCCCCCCUCGGUAAAUGUUUGUAGAGAGAGGGAGGGGGUGCAUGGAGAGAGGAUUGGAGGGAGAGACAA